This 254-nucleotide ribosomal RNA is filed under the name uncultured bacterium. RNAcentral describes it as "partial 16S ribosomal RNA". It matches the Rfam family "Bacterial small subunit ribosomal RNA", at positions 524 to 776 of the family's 1533-position model. The record is from RNAcentral.
UACGUAGGGUGCGAGCGUUGUCCGGAAUUAUUGGGCGUAAAGAGCUCGUAGGCGGUCUGUCGCGUCGAUCGUGAAAACUUGGGGCUUAACCCUGAGCUUGCGGUCGAUACGGGCAUGACUGGAGUUCGGCAGGGGAGACUGGAAUUCCUGGUGUAGCGGUGAAAUGCGCAGAUAUCAGGAGGAACACCGGUGGCGAAGGCGGCAUCCUGGACCACGACUGACGCUGAGGAGCGAAAGCCAGGGGAGCAAACGGG